Manacus vitellinus (golden-collared manakin) is the source of this 386-nucleotide long non-coding RNA. RefSeq lists it as uncharacterized. The record is from RefSeq and is a predicted model, not a curated record. Lineage: Eukaryota; Metazoa; Chordata; Aves; Passeriformes; Pipridae. The transcript is spliced from 3 exons.
UGAGCUGCUUACAGUUACUGUUGCUUUCAGUUCCACUUACACUUACUUACUGUUGCUUACAGUUACUGUGUGAAGGUGGGUGAGAAAGUAUGUAAGGCAGUAAGACCAGUCUGGGCUCACUGCCAGGGGACCAUGCGGCCGGGACAGGGAAACAACCUGCAGAUUCACCUUUAGUAGCUUUGAUUUGUCACUUGAAAUUCUGUUUUCUACAUGAAGAAGAUUAUCUUGAGCAUUACUUCAAGCCAAACUUAUGCAUGCAUAAAGACUUCUGAGUUACUGCUUGACAUGCUGCAGAGCCCACCUGCAUCUCUGCUGUCAUGGCAGGUCAAGACUCCUGAGAGUGCGAGGACAAAAACAGGCUGCACAGCAUUGGUGAGGAUGAGCAA